AGAGCGAACGCUGGCGGCAGGCUUAACACAUGCAAGUCGAGCGGGCGUAGCAAUACGUCAGCGGCAGACGGGUGAGUAACGCGUGGGAACGUACCUUUUGGUUCGGAACAACUGAGGGAAACUUCAGCUAAUACCGAAUAAGCCCUUACGGGGAAAGAUUUAUCGCCGAAAGAUCGGCCCGCGUCUGAUUAGCUUGUUGGUGAGGUAAUGGCUCACCAAGGCGACGAUCAGUAGCUGGUCUGAGAGGAUGAUCAGCCACAUUGGGACUGAGACACGGCCCAAACUCCUACGGGAGGCAGCAGUGGGGAAUAUUGGACAAUGGGCGCAAGCCUGAUCCAGCCAUGCCGCGUGAGUGAUGAAGGCCCUAGGGUUGUAAAGCUCUUUUGUGCGGGAAGAUAAUGACGGUACCGCAAGAAUAAGCCCGGCUAACUUCGCGCCAGCAGCCGC
This 447-nucleotide ribosomal RNA is filed under the name uncultured bacterium. Its description in RNAcentral is "SSU rRNA". It matches the Rfam family "Bacterial small subunit ribosomal RNA", at positions 26 to 518 of the family's 1533-position model. The record is from RNAcentral.